UACGAAGGUGGCUAGCGUUGUUCGGAUUUAUUGGGCGUAAAGGGUCCGCAGGCGGUUUGAUAAGUCCGGUGUGAAAUCCCACAGCUUAACUGUGGACACGCAUUUGAUACUGUCAGACUAGAGUAUGAGAGGGGUGAGAGGAAUUUCCAGUGUAGGGGUGAAAUCCGUAGAUAUUGGAAAGAACACCGGCCGCGAAGGCGUUUCACUGGCUCAUUACUGACGCUCAGGGACGAAAGCUAGGGGAGCAAACGGG
RNAcentral lists this ribosomal RNA (253 nucleotides) under uncultured bacterium. RNAcentral describes it as "partial 16S ribosomal RNA". It matches the Rfam family "Bacterial small subunit ribosomal RNA", at positions 524 to 776 of the family's 1533-position model. The record is from RNAcentral.